RNAcentral lists this ribosomal RNA (450 nucleotides) under uncultured bacterium. RNAcentral describes it as "partial 16S ribosomal RNA". It matches the Rfam family "Bacterial small subunit ribosomal RNA", at positions 354 to 796 of the family's 1533-position model. The record is from RNAcentral.
GUGGGGAAUAUUGGACAAUGGGCGAAAGCCUGAUCCAGCCAUGCCGCGUGUGUGAAGAAGGUCUUCGGAUUGUAAAGCACUUUAAGUUGGGAGGAAGGGCAGUAAGCUAAUACCUUGCUGUUUUGACGUUACCGACAGAAUAAGCACCGGCUAACUUCGUGCCAGCAGCCGCGGUAAUACGAAGAGUGCAAGCGUUAAUCGGAAUUACUGGGCGUAAAGCGCGCGUAGGUGGUUUUGUAAGUUGAAGGUGAAAUCCCCGGGCUCAACCUGGGAACUGCCUCCAAAACUGCAUGACUAGAGUACGGUAGAGGGUAGUGGAAUUUCCUGUGUAGCGGUGAAAUGCGUAGAUAUAGGAAGGAACACCAGUGGCGAAGGCGACUACCUGGACUGAUACUGACACUGAGGUGCGAAAGCGUGGGGAGCAAACAGGAUUAGAAACCCGAGUAGUCC